This 253-nucleotide ribosomal RNA is filed under the name uncultured bacterium. Its description in RNAcentral is "partial 16S ribosomal RNA". It matches the Rfam family "Bacterial small subunit ribosomal RNA", at positions 524 to 776 of the family's 1533-position model. The record is from RNAcentral.
UACGUAGGGGGCAAGCGUUGUCCGGAUUUAUUGGGCGUAAAGAGCGUGUAGGCGGCCAAACAGGUCAGCUGUGAAAACUCGAGGCUCAACCUCGAGACGUCGGUUGAAACCGUUUUGCUAGAGUCCGGAAGAGGAGAGUGGAAUUCCCGGUGUAGCGGUGAAAUGCGCAGAUAUCGGGAAGAACACCCGUGGCGAAGGCGGCUCUCUGGGACGGUACUGACGCUGAGACGCGAAAGCGUGGGGAGCGAACAGG